Molecule: ribosomal RNA, 254 nt
Filed under: uncultured bacterium
Lineage: Bacteria
Description: partial 16S ribosomal RNA
Rfam family: Bacterial small subunit ribosomal RNA
Source: RNAcentral
UACGUAGGGGGCAAGCGUUGUCCGAAUUUAUUGGGCGUAAAGAGCUCGUAGGUGGUUCGGUAAGUCGGAUGUGAAAUCUCCAGGCUCAACCUGGAGGGGUCAUUCGAUACUGCCGUGACUAGAGGUCGGUAGGGGAGUGUGGAAUUCCUGGUGGAGCGGUGAAAUGCGCAGAUAUCAGGAGGAACACCCGUAGCGAAGGCGGCACUCUGGGCCGAUACUGACACUGAGGAGCGAAAGCGUGGGGAGCGAACAGG